RNAcentral lists this long non-coding RNA (1174 nucleotides) under Monodelphis domestica (gray short-tailed opossum). RNAcentral's name for it is "lncRNA (ENSMODG00000036458.1)". Lineage: Eukaryota; Metazoa; Chordata; Mammalia; Didelphimorphia; Didelphidae. The record is from RNAcentral.
GGGGUCUUGACCUCCAUUCUAGAAUGUGCCCAAGUGUCUUAAGGGCUUAGAGAUCCUCAGACUAAAUCAGAGUGGCGCCAGACGAGAAGGAGAGUAACUGGAUCUGGAAAGCACCGAAGAGCUCCUGCGCCAAGACCUCCAGGGAAGGGGAAGCCUGGAACCCCCCACUCUCCCAGCCGCACCUCCACAGACCUGGCUUCUUUCCAGCUUCCCUCUGCUGCUCCCAGUUCUGCACCCUGGAGCCAAGCACAAAAUCCCUCUUCCCUCGGAGAGCUGGUUGGAUUAAAUUGGGCAUAUUCCAAGAGACUGGCCUGGCUGGCUCUCAAUUCACUGAAUCACGCAGCUGCCCCCUGACCAAACUCUUUUGAGUGAUUAUGGAUCUCAUUUGAGAGGUCAUCUGGAGUUUGAUAUGAUCUGCCUCAAAUCACUGGCACACAGGACUAUCCGGAAGACAUCCCACUGGUAAGGAUUCCUUUCUUAACCUUGAUUUUGUGCUGGAUGUCCUCCAUGACACUGGCAAGUGAACUCCUUUGGAGUGUGUGGGUCUUGCCUUUUAUCCCUUGCUUGAUGUCCAGUGCUGCCAUUUUCAAGGAUUCUUCUAUAAUCUUGACUUAAACAUAUGUAACCCUUGAACCAAAGAGCCACUUGCAUAAGAUUCUUCUCACUGGCAGAGACUGAUUACUCAGUGUUCUGGGCCUGAGUGGGGGCAGAAUUGGUGAGCGCUAGCUAUUGGUGUUCUAGCUUCCAGCCUCAAGAGGGAAGAUGUGUCAUUACAGAUUUCCUGGAGGGAGAGAAAAGCUCUAAGAAGAAGCCAAUGUGCUGAGGGACCAGCUCUUCAAUCCUCAUGAUAUGCGUGGAACUGUGGCUAUGAGAACUGAUGAAUGGGAGGGUUUGGGAGAAACCUGGAAGACUUGUGUGAACUGAUACAAAGUGACGUGAGCAGAACCAGGGGAACAACUUAUACACUGACAGAAAUGUUUUAAAGAUAAGCAACUUUGAAAGUCUUAAGCAAUCCAAUCAAUUUAAAGAUCCACCAAGACUCCAGAUGCAUGAUGAAACAUGCUACCUGCCUCCUGGCAGAGAGGGGAUGGACUCAGGAUGCAGAUGAAGACAUAGAUUUGGAUCUGGUCAAUAAGAUGAUUUAUUUUUCUCAGCAAUAAAUAUUUGUGACAUA